This 205-nucleotide unclassified non-coding RNA is filed under the name Hevea brasiliensis (rubber tree). The record is from RNAcentral. Lineage: Eukaryota; Viridiplantae; Streptophyta; Magnoliopsida; Malpighiales; Euphorbiaceae.
GGACAAUAUCACAAUCUUAUGAGUAGUUUGAAUUAUAUAACAAUUAGAAUUUGCAUUAAAAUCUUUAGACUAGGGCAGCUCAAUAAAGUCUUACAAUCACAAAAAAUUGAGUUAUCUUAUAAAUUUUAAAAUAUAUAGAUUUGAUGAAAUCUAAUUUAAAGAAAAAAAAUGAAAGAUUCUUGGUUGAGUUUAAGGUAGAUUUUUA